Molecule: ribosomal RNA, 253 nt
Filed under: uncultured prokaryote
Description: partial 16S ribosomal RNA
Rfam family: Bacterial small subunit ribosomal RNA
Source: RNAcentral
ACGAAGGGUGCAAGCGUUAAUCGGAAUUACUGGGCGUAAAGGGCGCGUAGGCGGCCUUCUAAGUCGAACGUGAAAUCCCCGGGCUCAACCCGGGAAUUGCGUCCGAUACUGGGAGGCUUGAAUCCGGGAGAGGGAUGUGGAAUUCCAGGUGUAGCGGUGAAAUGCGUAGAUAUCUGGAGGAACACCGGUGGCGAAGGCGGCAUCCUGGACCGGUAUUGGCGCUGAGGCGCGAAAGCCAGGGGAGCAAACGGGA